UGAAUCUUCAUGUCUCAAGGUAUGUCACUUUUCAUAUUUUUCUAAAACUUUUUUGAUUCUUAUCUUCUCGUAAAUGAGUUUCAAAUUUCAAAAAUUCAUUAAUAAUGAUGAUAUGCUUUGAGCACUGGGUUAUGAUAAACCGUGAUUACUUUCGUUGACAUUCACUACUGAUACUUCUCAUUAAUAAAUAUUUAUGUGACGAAUUUAUUACAUGAUUAUAUUUCUAAUCCUAUUUAUUAUCUUUUUCAGAUUGGCCCCGUAUUUUAAAUUUUUUAUCCAUUCCUCCGAUUUUUGAAAGGUACAAAAAUUUUUUAUUUCUUGGGUGAAUCUCCAUGUCUCGAGAUCAGCCCCGGUAUAUUCACUUUUUCCUCCAUUUCUUGGAUUUUUGAAAGUGUUUUCACAUCAUCAAUGUAAUGCACAAAAGAAGACGCUCAUUACUGCAAUUCUUUACAGGUGUUUGGAGUUAUGUUGUAAAUUUGCGUUCAAAAAACGAAGUCCUAAAACUGAGAAACUUUCAGUUGAAAUGGUUACUAUCAUAUUCUAUUUCUUGGGUGAAUCACAAAAUUUUCAGGUUACUAUCAUAUUCUAUUUCUUGGGUGAAUCUCAAUAUUUUCAGUAAUUCCAUUUCUUCCAUGUGAGAUCAGCUUCAUUCCUUCUAUUGAUUACAGCUCCAACAUUUGUGUCUCAACAUUUGGCAAACUUUUUGAUGAGGAAUUAAUGUAACAAUAGAAAUCACACUAGAUUUGCAAGAAAUAAUGCUGAAUGCAGAUUGGUUUUCGAAUUGAAUAAAUCACAAACAUGGGAGAUAUCAAGUUGGUAGAUGGUGAUAUUUUUGGAAGGACAUCUAUUCUUUUAUUUGAAUAAAUGAAUGUAAGUUGAUUUGAAUCUUUGAAUUGAAAAAUAAAUUAUGAUGAUAUUGAAA
Molecule: RNA transcript, 922 nt
Organism: Harmonia axyridis
Lineage: Eukaryota; Metazoa; Arthropoda; Insecta; Coleoptera; Coccinellidae
Exons: 11
Source: RefSeq, a predicted model, not a curated record